GGGGAAGGGGAAUGGGGGAGAGAAUUACAAUGUGAGGAAUCGAAUCCUCACCAACAAGGUGGAGGUUCAGGUAACUAACCAACUAAACAUAAUAGAAAGUAUGAGAUUUAGAAUGACCAAGGGUAAAACGGACUUUUUAAUUUAUAUAUUCAGGGGCAAAAUGGAAAUAAACAUAAUAAUAUCAUAAGUGGUGCUCUUCUUCACUAUGGUCCCAACAAAGUAUGAGACUUACCCUGUUAUCAUAAGCGGUG
RNAcentral lists this long non-coding RNA (251 nucleotides) under Capsicum annuum. Its description in RNAcentral is "long non-coding RNA (CANN_LNC000922)". Lineage: Eukaryota; Viridiplantae; Streptophyta; Magnoliopsida; Solanales; Solanaceae. The record is from RNAcentral.